Molecule: ribosomal RNA, 253 nt
Filed under: uncultured bacterium
Lineage: Bacteria
Description: partial 16S ribosomal RNA
Rfam family: Bacterial small subunit ribosomal RNA
Source: RNAcentral
GACGAACCGUGCAAACGUUGUUCGGAAUCACUGGGCUUAAAGGGCGCGUAGGCGGGCAGGCAAGUCGGAGGUGAAAGCCCACGGCUCAACCGUGGAAGUGCCCCCGAUACUGCCAGUCUUGAGGGAGGUAGGGGCGUGCGGAACUUCCGGUGGAGCGGUGAAAUGCGUAGAUAUCGGGAGGAACACCAGUGGCGAAGGCGACUUCCUGGCCUGUUCUUGACGCUGAGGCGCGAAAGCUAGGGGAGCAAACGGG